RNAcentral lists this non-coding RNA (278 nucleotides) under Desulfofundulus kuznetsovii. Lineage: Bacteria; Bacillati; Bacillota; Clostridia; Eubacteriales; Peptococcaceae. The record is from RNAcentral.
CAACUUCAUACCGGAACGGGUGCUUUCACCCCGAGGGGUGAAAGUGAAAAGGGAAGCCGGUGCAAAUCCGGCGCGGUCCCGCCACUGUGAGGGGGAGGGACUCCACAGCAAGUCACUGUCCAGCACUCACCGGUAAUAUUGGUAAAACCUUAAGCUAUAUUUUCACUAUUUGUCAAGCGUGCCAUUGGAUGUUACGGUUCAUCGGUGAGUGCUGGAUGGGAAGACGUGGAGCUCCGGUGAACCCGAGCCAGGAGACCUGCCCGUUACCGGAACGACCG